GAUGAAGUCACCAUCCCUGGAGGUGUCCAAGAAGAGGGUAGAUGUGGCACUUGGGAAUGUGGGUUAGUGGGCACAGUGGCCAUGGGUUGAUACUUGGACUAGAUGAUCUUAGCAGUCUUUUCUAACCUUCAUGAUUCAAUGGCUCUAUGAAAUAUCACCUAAGUGUGUGGUGACUAAACAGGUUUCUACCUUCACCCUUGUAACUGCUGUUUUCCUCUAUUUAUGUUUGUUGUAUCAAUAUAGCAAACAUCAGACAAGACCCUUGUGUAAAACUAUCGAUCCAUUUAGCCUGAAGAGGAAAAUAUCACUGGCUAACUUUGCUCCAAACCAAGAAGCAAAUGAGCUGUUAAGCUGGGGAGGGGUAUAGAUGCAUUUGUGGGGUGUGAUUUGUGUGGGUUUUUCAGCCCUUGGUAAAAAGGAAGAAGUUAAAACACCUUCCCCAAGUCAUCUUGAUAGGAACUCUGCAGAACAAAAGGAGAUAAUGAGCUGUAUAACAUAUGAGGAUGAGAGGUAAAAGCUUAUUUAAAAAUAACCUUAAACUUAUCAGCAUCCAUAGAUCAGCAUUUACCAUCAUAUUUAAACUCAGAAAGAUAAUUUCCUAAAUUUUGAAAUUCACAGGUUCUCUCUGAAGAAACAGUCCUUUUUGCAACACUUUCUUGAUGACUUUGUCAGCAGUGUUCCAGCUGCUUUCACUUUGCAUCAGCAACAGCAUGGACAGAUCAACAAGUGCUGUGGGAAAUGGAUGCAGCUUGCAGCCAGGGAAGGAGCCAUAUUGAGCUCUGGUUACGUCUGGAAAACUUCCAACAAAAGGGAACAAAUAUGAAUGACAGUCAAAGCAGGACAAAGGAUGCUCAGAACAACAAAGGUGCACAGAGCUCUAAGGAGCAUAGUACAGCCAGACCAGACCUUCUCACUGGACAUGCUUUGGGGGUAGAAGAGAUGGCCAAAUAUGUCCAGCCAUAUGGAGAUGGGGGCAAUGACUUCCAAAGCCAGCUGGCCUAUGUUGGACUGACCUACCUUAGAUACCACCUGUGGCUUUAG
Molecule: long non-coding RNA, 1041 nt
Filed under: Coturnix japonica (Japanese quail)
Lineage: Eukaryota; Metazoa; Chordata; Aves; Galliformes; Phasianidae
Description: lncRNA (ENSCJPG00005017740.1)
Source: RNAcentral